RNAcentral lists this ribosomal RNA (458 nucleotides) under Vermamoeba vermiformis. Its description in RNAcentral is "SSU rRNA". It matches the Rfam family "Eukaryotic small subunit ribosomal RNA", at positions 668 to 1123 of the family's 1831-position model. Lineage: Eukaryota; Tubulinea; Echinamoebida; Vermamoebidae. The record is from RNAcentral.
CCCUUCGGGGAGCGGGUCACUGGCCUCCUAUGUUCCUAACGGUCCUCAUCCGCGAGGGUGGGGAAUCAACCGCUAGGAUCGUUUACUUUGAGGAAAUUAGAGUGUUCAAAGCAGGCGUAACUCGCCUCCGAAUACGUUAGCAUGGGAUAAUGGAAUACGACUUCGGUCUUGUUUCGUUGGUUUCGCUUGGCUGAAGUAAUGAUUGAUAGGGACAGUUGGGGGCAUUAUUAUUUAGUUGUCAGAGGUGAAAUUCUAGGAUUUACUAAAGACUGACCAAUGCGAAAGCAUUUGCCAAGGAUGUUUUCAUUAAUCAAGAACGAAAGUAGGGGGAUCGAAGACGAUCAGAUACCGUCGUAGUCUCUACCGUAAACUAUGCCGACCAGGGAUCCGGAGAGUUUGCAUGGAUGACUCCCCGGGCACCUUGUGAGAAAUCAUAAGUGUUUGGGUUUUGGGGGGAG